AUGAGGUCGGCGAUUUCUCUCAGUUUGUUGCUGACUUUCUUAUCCCGAGGUGCCCAGUCGGAUGUUGUGUUGACUCAGCCGGACGCAGAGACCGGGCGUCCCGGAGGCACCCUGAGACUGACCUGUAAAACCAGCGGCUUCAAUCUUGGCAGUUACUACAUGGGCUGGAUCCGACAGGUUCCCGGACAGGGGCUGGAGUUGUUGAUUUAUUACCAUACUUCAUCCAGCAGCUACUUCGCUCCAGGAAUUAAGAAUCGAUUUACUGCUUCCAAAGACACUUCAAGGAACAUCUUCUCCUUGGACAUGACGAGCCUGAAGACUGAAGACACCGCCAUCUACUACUGUGCAAAACACUCACAGCGAGAGGAACCAGGGCUGGGCCUGAACAAAAACAGAUCGAGAGGAAACUGGGGACAAGGGACGGUGGUGACGGUGACUGCAGCGACACCGUCUUCGCCCACUCUCUACAGCCUGAUCUCCUCCUGUCAGCAACACCAUCCCGACGGCUCCGUCACCUACGGCUGUUUGGCGAUGGACUAUUCCCCAGAAAUCACCAGCCUGACCUGGAAGAAAGAUGGGCAGCCGAUCACCACUGGAUUUCAGACUUACCCGUCGGUGAGAAACCAGAAGGGAACCUUCACCCUGAGCAGCCAAUUAACCAUCACCGAAUCAGAGGGGGAUUGCAGCAAAAUCAACUGUGAGGUUCAACACAGCGGCUCAGACAAGAGCAUUAGAAUGCAAUGCCCUGAAACCUUCCCUCCAACUGUUCUCCUCACCGUGAGUUCCCGGGAAGAAAUCACAACCAACAAAUUUGCAACCGCCGUCUGUUCAAUCAUCGAUUUCCGUCCAAGUUCAAUCACCGUGAAGUGGCUGAAGAAUGGACAACCCAUGGAUUCAGGAAUUGUCACCUCUCCCGCCUUUGAAGUGAACGGGAACUUCUCGGCGACCAGUCGGCUGAAAGUCUCCGCUGGGGAAUGGUUCACCGACGCGGUCUAUACCUGUCAGGUCACUCACGAAGGGGUCACCCAAAGUCGAAACGCCACUAAGUGUGGGGAACAUUCCAACUGCAGCGAUCCCACAAAUACUCUACUGCCACCGCCAAUAGAACAGGUCUUACUGGAGGCGACGGUGACAUUAACCUGCAUCGUUUCUAAUGCCCCUUAUGGAGUCCUCGUGUCCUGGACCCAAGAAAAGAAGCCUUUGAAAUCAGAGAUUGCCGUCCAACCGGGAGAGGAUCACAACGGCGUGGUCAGCAACGUAAACAUCUCGACACAAGCCUGGCUGAGUGGGGCUGAGUUCUACUGCGUGGUGAACCAUCAGGAUCUGCCGACUCCUUUAAGAAGUUCUAUCCACAAGGAACCAGUUAAAGAUCCGCGGGAACCGUCCGUGUCUGUCCUCCUGCCCUCGGCAGAAGAUGUCUCCGCUCAGAGAUUCAUCUCCUUGAGCUGCUUAGUGAGAGGUUUCUCCCCGCGAGAGAUCUUCGUCAAGUGGACCGUCAAUGACAAGCCGGUGAAUCCCGGAAACUACAAGAACACCGAGGUGGUGGCGGAGAACGGCAAUCGCUCCUUCUUCAUGUACAGCCUGUUAUCCAUUGCAGCGGAGGAGUGGGCCAGCGGCGCUUCUUACUCCUGUGUGGCGGGACAUGAAGCGAUCCCCUUGAAGAUCAUCAACAGAACGGUUGAUAAAUCCAGCGGUAAACCGAGUUUUGUGAACAUUUCUCUUGCACUGAUGGACACCGUUAAUUCAUGUCAAUGAGAAUCUCUCGGUUACAUUUCAAACUUCAAUAAAAAAAUAAUAAAGUC
Molecule: non-coding RNA, 1802 nt
Organism: Carcharodon carcharias (great white shark)
Lineage: Eukaryota; Metazoa; Chordata; Chondrichthyes; Lamniformes; Lamnidae
Source: the annotation of a RefSeq genome assembly